GCUCCUAACUACACAUUGAGCCAAACUAUAAUAAUAGCAGACCCCAUGCUAAAACUAGUAACAAGAAAACUUCUCUACCGCACCCCUGUGCAUCAGUAAUAGAAAACCUGCUGACAAUUAACAGACUAAAACAAGCCUAAAUAACACGUAUAACACCAAACUGUCACACCAACACCGGUGUGCCACAAAGAAAGAUUAAAAGUCGUAGAAGGAACUCAGCAAAACACUGUCCCAACUGUUUACCAAAAACAUAGCCUUUAGCAAUAUUAGUAUUAAAGGUCCCGCCUGCCCAGUGAAAUUAUUUCAACGGCCGCGGUAUUCUAACCGUGCAAAGGUAGCGUAAUCAUUUGUCUCCCAAAUAGAGACCAGUAUGAAUGGCUAAAUGAGGACAGACCUGUCUCCUACAACUAAUCAGUGAAACUGAUCUCCCAGUACAAAAGCUGGCAUGCCCACAUAAGACGAGAAGACCCUGUGGAGCUUAAAAUAAACUACUAACAGCCCUAAGCUAUCUAGUAUAAAAUUUUAAGUUGGGGCGACUUCGGAACAAAACAAAACUUCCGAGCACAGAACCACCAGUUCUUACUUAGGCCUACGAGCCCAAACAAAAGCCGACCCAGUCAUACUGACCAACGAACCAAGUUACCCCAGGGAUAACAGCGCAAUCUUCUUCAAGAGCCCCUAUCGACAAGAAGGUUUACGACCUCGAUGUUGGAUCAGGACACCCCGAUGGUGCAACCGCUAUUAAAGGUUCGUUUGUUCAACGAUUAAUAGU
This 772-nucleotide ribosomal RNA is filed under the name Tropidophorus baviensis (Bavi water skink). Its description in RNAcentral is "partial 16S rRNA". It matches the Rfam family "Bacterial large subunit ribosomal RNA", at positions 1544 to 2594 of the family's 2925-position model. Lineage: Eukaryota; Metazoa; Chordata; Lepidosauria; Squamata; Scincidae. The record is from RNAcentral.